RNAcentral lists this ribosomal RNA (429 nucleotides) under Pseudomonadota bacterium. Its description in RNAcentral is "Proteobacteria bacterium partial 16S ribosomal RNA". It matches the Rfam family "Bacterial small subunit ribosomal RNA", at positions 355 to 776 of the family's 1533-position model. The record is from RNAcentral. Lineage: Bacteria; Pseudomonadati; Pseudomonadota.
UGGGGAAUAUUGGACAAUGGGCGAAAGCCUGAUCCAGCCAUGCCGCGUGUGUGAAGAAGGUCUUCGGAUUGUAAAGCACUUUUAGUCGGGAGGAAGGGCAGUAAGCGAAUACCUUGCUGUUUUGACGUUACCGACAGAAUAAGCACCGGCUAACUCUGUGCCAGCAGCCGCGGGAAUACAGAGGGUGCAAGCGUUAAUCGGAAUUACUGGGCGUAAAGCGCGCGUAGGUGGUUCGUUAAGUUGAAUGUGAAAGCCCCGGGCUCAACCUGGGAACUGCAUCCAAAACUGGCGAGCUAGAGUAGGGCAGAGGGUGGUGGAAUUUCCUGUGUAGCGGUGAAAUGCGUAGAGAUCUGGAGGAAUACCGAUGGCGAAGGCAGCCAUCUGACAUAACACUGACGCUGAGGUACGAAAGCAUGGGGAGCAAACAGG